GCUAUACAUGCAGUCGAGCGGACAGAUGGGAGCUUGCUCCCUGAUGUUAGCGGCGGACGGGUGAGUAACACGUGGGUAACCUGCCUGUAAGACUGGGAUAACUCCGGGAAACCGGGGCUAAUACCGGAUGGUUGUUUGAACCGCAUGGUUCAGACAUAAAAGGUGGCUUCGGCUACCACUUACAGAUGGACCCGCGGCGCAUUAGCUAGUUGGUGAGGUAACGGCUCACCAAGGCGACGAUGCGUAGCCGACCUGAGAGGGUGAUCGGCCACACUGGGACUGAGACACGGCCCAGACUCCUACGGGAGGCAGCAGUAGGGAAUCUUCCGCAAUGGACGAAAGUCUGACGGAGCAACGCCGCGUGAGUGAUGAAGGUUUUCGGAUCGUAAAGCUCUGUUGUUAGGGAAGAACAAGUGCCGUUCAAAUAGGGCGGCACCUUGACGGUACCUAACCAGAAAGCCACGGCUAACUACGUGCCAGCAGCCGCGGUAAUACGUAGGUGGCAAGCGUUGUCCGGAAUUAUUGGGCGUAAAGGGCUCGCAGGCGGUUUCUUAAGUCUGAUGUGAAAGCCCCCGGCUCAACCGGGGAGGGUCAUUGGAAACUGGGGAACUUGAGUGCAGAAGAGGAGAGUGGAAUUCCACGUGUAGCGGUGAAAUGCGUAGAGAUGUGGAGGAACACCAGUGGCGAAGGCGACUCUCUGGUCUGUAACUGACGCUGAGGAGCGAAAGCGUGGGGAGCGAACAGGAUUAGAUACC
RNAcentral lists this ribosomal RNA (755 nucleotides) under Bacillus amyloliquefaciens. RNAcentral describes it as "bacterial SSU rRNA". It matches the Rfam family "Bacterial small subunit ribosomal RNA", at positions 48 to 786 of the family's 1533-position model. Lineage: Bacteria; Bacillati; Bacillota; Bacilli; Caryophanales; Bacillaceae. The record is from RNAcentral.